ACAUGCCCACACCUGUGGCUUCUGAAGCAGAGCACCAGCAGUGACAGUCCCACCAGAACCGCAUGGAAUAGAAAACUGUGCAUUUCCCUAAGGAAAGGGAAUGCCAGAGAAGGGCAGAAGGGAAAUCAGGAAGACAAAACGUGUCUUCAUGUUGGAGUGGACCUUUCCUCUAUCUGUCAACAGAAUGGAUAAAUUGUGGAAGAGUAAUAUCAGAAUACUACACAUCAGUAAAAAACAACAAACUUCUGCUACAAACAAUCAACAUCGAUGAAUCUUUCAGGCAAAAGGGCAAAGAAAAGUAUUGGUCUUCCAAAACAAAUAGAGGACGGAGCUGCUGCUGUUGCAUGGUGUCUAGAAACUCAGACAACUUCAUCAUUCCAUAUUUGCAUCCAAGAGAGAGAAAGAAAAACUACAAUCAUUUUCCAUUUACCCAUCAACCCAUCAACCUCCAAAUAAAGGCUAUUAAAAAACAAUCAAAGUGUGAAGAGGGCAGAAAAUGUGAUGAAGAGAUUCUUUGGAGAAAGUAGCUGCCACUGUUACCUUGGGAUCUGCCUAUAGUCCUCACAGAGCUUGCCCUUGCAGGAUAGAACAUAGGAGUCUGGGAGUCUGCAAGAAGAGACAGGGUCUCACUAUGUUGCCCCAGUUGGCCUUGAACUGCUGGACUCAAGGGAUCCUCCUGCCUCAGCAUCCUGAGUAGCUGGGUCUACAGGCAUGAACCACCAGGCCCAGAACCCUGUCUUUUGAAAGCCAUAUGCGAUCUGUCUGCCCUGAAGUGACUACUUCAUCUCCAACCAGCCCUUGGCUGGCAAAGUCAGGAAGACUCCAGUCUUUCCUGAAGACCAGGGGAGAGUUUAUAACUCUAGCAUCAAAGUCAGCAGCUGUUCAUCUAGAAGACAACUUCCCAAAAGUCAAUGUCUUUGCCUGAAGCUUUUCUUCCCAGAUCUCCUAUGGUGAAACAACCAAAGGGAAGAAGAAUGUGGGCAGCCCUCAGUAAGACAGGAGAUGAGCAUCAACAUUGACCCAUUCUUUCUUCCAGUCCUCGAUGCUUACCUUGUACAUUCUUCUUUGUCUUCCGACUCAGUGCCUUUAGGGUAUGGACGUUGCCUGGUCCCACACAAGCCAAGCAUCAAAUGGAUGGCUCAACAAGGAGGCCAAGACCAGCUAAUGUUUAGUGAGCACCCAAAGGGGCCACACUGGAGAGAACAGCACAGCUCCGUCUGAGAAACAGCUGUUCCUUCCUGCCUGAGAGGCAGAGUGAUAGAAGAUAUCACAGAAUGUUGCUGCUUUGUCUUCCACCCUGAACCCUCCACGACCUCCCUGUAGCUUCCUGAUUUUAAGUAGACAUCAAAUGAUUCUUAAUCCUUUCUGGGUCUUGGAACGAUUUGAAAAUUGUCAACAGUACUGGGAUUCCCAGAAUAAUGCACAUAUGUACAUACUCAGAUAUUCCCCAAGCCCUGGAUAUAAUUUUAAGGGAGUUCACAGACCACACUCCCCCACCCAUCUGUGGACCCAGAUUCUGUGGGUUCGAGAUUCAGAAGCCCUGUUUCUAGGCAGGCCCUCUGUUGCUAACGCCCCUCGAGAACAUCACCCUAGAUGAUUAUCCCUUCUUCCUCCACUCCUUCCCACCUUCUCCAACUGCUGGGUUUCAGCACAAAGAUUGCUUGCCAGUUAAACUGGCACCAUGGACCGCACAGUAGUUGUUUCUUGGGUCUAGAGGAAACAGCCAGAUUCCUUUAAGUAAAUCAUGUCUUAGUUAUUGAUUGUCUCCACUUGAAGUUUUUGACAAUCUCUGAUUAAAUCAUAAACCACUGCA
RNAcentral lists this long non-coding RNA (1813 nucleotides) under Homo sapiens (human). Its description in RNAcentral is "long independently transcribed non-coding RNA 2290, transcript variant 8 (LINC02290)". The record is from RNAcentral. Lineage: Eukaryota; Metazoa; Chordata; Mammalia; Primates; Hominidae.